CGUGAGUGAAGACGGUUUUCGGAUCGUAAAGCUCUGUUGUAGGGGAAGAACGUGUGUAAGAGUGGAAAGCUUACACAGUGACGGUACCCUACCAGAAAGGGACGGCUAACUACGUGCCAGCAGCCGCGGUAAUACGUAGGUCCCGAGCGUUGUCCGGAUUUAUUGGGCGUAAAGGGAGCGCAGGCGGUUUAGUAAGUCUGAAGUUAAAGGCAUUGGCUCAACCAAUGUAUGCUUUGGAAACUGUUAGACUUGAGUGCAGAAGGGGAGAGUGGAAUUCCAUGUGUAGCGGUGAAAUGCGUAGAUAUAUGGAGGAACACCGGUGGCGAAAGCGGCUCUCUGGUCUGUCACUGACGCUGAGGCUCGAAAGCGUGGGUAGCGAACAGGAUUAGAUACCCUGGUAGUCCACGCCGUAAACGCUGAGUGCUAGGUGUUAGGUCCUUUCCGGGACUUAGUGCCGACGCUAACGCAUUAAGCACUCCGCCUGGGGAGUACGACCGCAAGGUUGAAACUCAAAGGAAUUGACGGGGGCCCGCACAAGCGGUGGAGCAUGUGGUUUAAUUCGAAGCAACGCGAAGAACCUUACCAGGUCUUGACAUCCCGAUGCCCGCUCUAGAGAUAGAGUUUUCUGCG
RNAcentral lists this ribosomal RNA (630 nucleotides) under Streptococcus sobrinus. RNAcentral describes it as "bacterial SSU rRNA". It matches the Rfam family "Bacterial small subunit ribosomal RNA", at positions 400 to 1020 of the family's 1533-position model. Lineage: Bacteria; Bacillati; Bacillota; Bacilli; Lactobacillales; Streptococcaceae. The record is from RNAcentral.